Molecule: unclassified non-coding RNA, 229 nt
Filed under: plant metagenome
Description: partial contains small subunit ribosomal RNA, internal transcribed spacer 1, and 5.8S ribosomal RNA
Source: RNAcentral
UCUCCGUAGGUGAACCUGCGGAGGGAUCAUUACAGAGUUCAUGCCCUACCGGGUAGAUCUCCCACCCUAUGUUAUUAUUACUUUGUUGCUUCGGCGGGCCGUUAGGCUCCGGCCCGACUACCGGCCCCGGCUGGUAAGCACCCGCCAGAGGACCCAAAACCCUGAAUAUUAGUGUCGUCUGAGUACUAUAUAAUAGUUAAAACUUUCAACAACGGAUCUCUUGGUUCUC